Long non-coding RNA from Triticum aestivum (bread wheat), 1706 nucleotides. RefSeq lists it as uncharacterized. The transcript is spliced from 3 exons. The record is from RefSeq and is a predicted model, not a curated record. Lineage: Eukaryota; Viridiplantae; Streptophyta; Magnoliopsida; Poales; Poaceae.
UGGUCGCUUAACUGGGCCGCGAUCCAGUUGGCCUUGCCCCGUCUCUCACUGUCGAAUAAACGGUUCUCGCUAAUUUAACCCGCAGUUAUUUUUCUUCGUCAACCCUCUGUGCAUGUUUGGCUUUAGAUCGAGCGGCGGCGCUCCCGAAGUCCCGAUCCAAUCGGGACAUGUAGGACGACGGCGGCAGGGCUCCGGAAAGUGGGGAACGACGGGGAGGCGGGGAGGCGGCGGACGUCGCGGCGAGGCGGAUCAGAUCAGGAUCCAGCACGGCGGCCGGCGCUCCAUGGCCGUGGCGCCUCGGUCUCGUGGGAAGAAGAGACGUGGGAGAGAGAGGAGGUGAGAUGGGGAGAAGAGAAGGCAGAGUAAGGACGGCGCGGAUUCCGACGGUGGCUCCGGUCGGCGGAUCCAGGCCAACUCUUGAUGGAUUUCCAAUGUGCUGCUGGCCUCCGAAUUUUUUUUGUCGUGUAGCCGCUCCCCAUCUCAGCGUGUGCUAUCCACGGAAGCCGGCUCCUCCACUCAGGCCCUCUUCUGCAACGCCGACGAGGACGCUAAUUCGUUUGAACCGAUCUUCACGACCACGUGCAGAUGGAAUUUUUUUCAUAUGACAUCAGGGAUGUAGGAUGAUUGGGUGAACAAGCUUCAUGUGAAACAUCCAGAUCCCGGUGGCGGUGCCUCCGUUCAGCAUCCCAUGCGGCGACGUCCUCCGGUAUAAUGGCAAACACCGGUAGGGGAGAGAGCAGAGCGGGAGGGGUAUUGGGUCCAUACCAUUGUGGGCAUUGCCAGUGCCAUGAUUGUGGUUAAUACCCACAGGAGAUUCUAUUCCUGUGAGCGGAUUAAACAGAGUUGAGUAAACAUCAUCCAUAGGAGAUACAUGUGCUAAUUAAGUUUAGAGGAGAAAGUGGUUCUUUAUUCUUGUAAUUUUGGUGCAGAUGUCAUACAGGGGGCAGAGAACAAUAGUCUUUUGGGAAUGCCUGUUAACUUUUUGGAGCUACCAGGUAAAUUUUGGUAUGAAUUUAUGUUAGUUCUACCUUUCCAUGAUGUUUAAUUGUUCGGUUCUUAAGGGUUUGUAAGAGGAGAUGGAUUUUGACUACUCUAUUUCGGAAGCCACGGAUCUGCAGAUGAAAAAUAAAAGAGUGUGCAUGGUGUUUUUUUUCUUACAGAAUACUUUUAUAUGCCAUGUUGUAUUUUGCUUCAGGUUUAGGACUAUUUGGUCUGCUACAAAAUCCAUGUUUUCAACUGCAAAAUUUUAGUUUUAUUAUUAUUAUCAUAUUUACUAUUUUUUGGUAGUAAUAUAUAACACGGCGCUGGUGAAAAGCCUACUAAAAAGAUUAAUUAGUCAAUAAUGUUGUCUUAAGAACAGUAGUAUUUGGCUUGAAGUAUAGGCACUGUCAAUUUUUUUUAUGUUCACCACUAUUGCCAUGCGCUCCUAUUUGUUGGUUUUUCCUAUGGCAGUUUGGAGCAAGUGAUUGGCCUAUAAACUAAUUAAUAUUCAAGCUUUCUGAGAAUUUUUUUACUACGAGAUAAGUAGAUUAUCAUUUAACCCACAGCGAAGAUAAAGUAGAUUAUGGUGACCGAGCUGAGCACACGCUGAUUUAGUGCUUCGACCCUUCAUGUUUAUGAUUCACUAAUUCUGGUCCUUCCAUUACUAUUGAACUAAAUUCAAAGUUGUUGCUAUGUCAAUUCGGUUGCCUGCUUGCCAUAGUUUA